This 484-nucleotide ribosomal RNA is filed under the name uncultured bacterium. Its description in RNAcentral is "partial 16S ribosomal RNA". It matches the Rfam family "Bacterial small subunit ribosomal RNA", at positions 30 to 507 of the family's 1533-position model. The record is from RNAcentral.
AUUGAACGCUGGCGGCAGGCCUAACACAUGCAAGUCGAGCGGAUGAAGGGAGCUUGCUCCUGGAUUCAGCGGCGGACGGGUGAGUAAUGCCUAGGGAUCUGCCUGGUAGUGGGGGAUAACGUCCGGAAACGGGCGCUAAUACCGCAUACGUCCUGAGGGAGAAAGUGGGGGAUCUUCGGACCUCACGCCAUCAGAUGAGCCUAGGUCGGAUUAGCUAGUUGGUGGGGUAAAGGCCUACCAAGGCGACGAUCCGUAACUGGUCUGAGAGGAUGAUCAGUCACACUGGAACUGAGACACGGUCCAGACUCCUACGGGAGGCAGCAGUGGGGAAUAUUGGACAAUGGGCGAAAGCCUGAUCCAGCCAUGCCGCGUGUGUGAAGAAGGUCUUCGGAUUGUAAAGCACUUUAAGUUGGGAGGAAGGGCAGUAAGUUAAUACCUUGCUGUUUUGACGUUACCAACAGAAUAAGCACCGGCUAACUUCGUG